CCUACGGGUGGCUGCAGUGGGGAAUAUUGGACAAUGGGGGCAACCCUGAUCCAGCCAUGCCGCGUGUGUGAAGAAGGCCCUCGGGUUGUAAAGCACUUUCAGUGAGGAAGAACGCCUGGUGGUUAAUACCCAUCAGGAAAGACAUCACUCACAGAAGAAGCACCGGCUAACUCCGUGCCAGCAGCCGCGGUAAUACGGAGGGUGCGAGCGUUAAUCGGAAUUACUGGGCGUAAAGCGCGCGUAGGUGGCUUGAUAAGCCAGUUGUGAAAGCCCCGGGCUCAACCUGGGAACGGCAUCCGGAACUGUCAAGCUAGAGUGCAGGAGAGGAAGGUAGAAUUCCCGGUGUAGCGGUGAAAUGCGUAGAGAUCGGGAGGAAUACCAGUGGCGAAGGCGGCCUUCUGGACUGACACUGACACUGAGGUGCGAAAGCGUGGGUAGCAAACAGGAUUAGAUACCCUUGUAGUC
This 465-nucleotide ribosomal RNA is filed under the name Vreelandella stevensii. RNAcentral describes it as "partial 16S ribosomal RNA". It matches the Rfam family "Bacterial small subunit ribosomal RNA", at positions 338 to 795 of the family's 1533-position model. Lineage: Bacteria; Pseudomonadati; Pseudomonadota; Gammaproteobacteria; Oceanospirillales; Halomonadaceae. The record is from RNAcentral.